AUCAGUCUUUGGUUGGUUUUUCCUGACAGUAUGUGCGUCAUCCAAAUUGAGAGACAUCUUGCAAACAUCCGCGGAGAACAUAUAUUUUUCGUGUUUUAAUUCUACUCCUGAAUCUUCUUAACCUGUUUUAGAUGGAGCCCGAUCAGAAACAUGAUGACAUUGCUAUUUCUACACUUCAAGUUCAAGUGGAUGAUGUCAAAAAUGUUAUGACUCAAAAUAUUGAAAAGGUCUUGAAAAGAGAAGAGCGGCUGUCUGACCUGGCUGACAGAAGUGAUGAUCUUGAAACAGCGGCUCAUGGUUUCCAAAAAACCACUACAAAGAUCGCAAGGAAGAUGUGGUGGAAGAAUACAAAAAUGAUCAUCAUAAUUGUGGCGAUUAUCCUUGUUGUUGUGACUUUCAUUGUUCUCCUGGCCACAGGUGUUAUUCCAACAUGAAGAAUACAAGUAGCUAAAUGGAACAUAUGGAGAAUAUGCUGUAAAAUGUUCUGUAUUAAACACAUUUUGGUUUACUCAUUUUUAUAUAUAAAAAUAAAUAUAUAUUUAACAGCU
This is a long non-coding RNA of Anolis sagrei ordinatus, 548 nucleotides long. RefSeq lists it as uncharacterized. NCBI's taxonomy places the organism in Eukaryota, Metazoa, Chordata, Lepidosauria, Squamata, Anolidae. The record is from RefSeq and is a predicted model, not a curated record.